Molecule: ribosomal RNA, 253 nt
Filed under: uncultured bacterium
Lineage: Bacteria
Description: partial 16S ribosomal RNA
Rfam family: Bacterial small subunit ribosomal RNA
Source: RNAcentral
UACCGAGGGUGCGAGCGUUGUCCGGAAUCACUGGGCGUAAAGGGCGCGUAGGCGGCUUGAUAAGCGUGCGGUGAAAGCCCGGGGCUCAACCCCGGGUCGGCCGUGCGAACUGUCGAGCUGGAGCACUGUAGAGGCAGGUGGAAUUCCGGGUGUAGCGGUGGAAUGCGUAGAGAUCCGGAAGAACACCGGUGGCGAAGGCGGCCUGCUGGGCAGUGGCUGACGCUGAGGCGCGACAGCGUGGGGAGCAAACAGG